Haliotis rubra (blacklip abalone) is the source of this 420-nucleotide long non-coding RNA. RefSeq lists it as uncharacterized. NCBI's taxonomy places the organism in Eukaryota, Metazoa, Mollusca, Gastropoda, Lepetellida, Haliotidae. The record is from RefSeq and is a predicted model, not a curated record. The transcript is spliced from 3 exons.
AGUAAAACCGGAGUUCAUUGCAAGGGAUUAGCCACCAUACAUCGUGCUAGUAAAUUAACGAGGAGGUAUUGCUUUUUUCCACGGAACAGUACCAGCAGGUUCACUGUCGACGUCCUUGCGGGGCAGUAUUGCUUGCACCAUCUUGUACAGCCUGUCUCCAAAUAAGAUCCCCAGUAUCCCUAGAGCAGCGACCAACACUAUCAUGGAGCCUAGUGCUAUCAGGACAACGUGUGAGGUGGGAAGGUGUCCUUCUGGCAAAGGUGCUGACGUAGACGUAUCGACGACGCGGGACGGUGUCCCAGUAACCGAUGUUGUGAGUUGACUGAGGAAGCUUUUAAGGCGGAGUCUGUGCCGUAUGAAAAGUCUUCGGCAACACCUGCGCCCUAAUAGAGAGAAAGCGAAUGAGAGGAUGUGAGUGUU